This 425-nucleotide ribosomal RNA is filed under the name uncultured bacterium. RNAcentral's name for it is "bacterial SSU rRNA". It matches the Rfam family "Bacterial small subunit ribosomal RNA", at positions 356 to 773 of the family's 1533-position model. The record is from RNAcentral.
GGGGAAUUUUGGACAAUGGGGGCAACCCUGAUCCAGCCAUCCCGCGUGUGCGAUGAAGGCCUUCGGGUUGUAAAGCACUUUUGGCAGGGAAGAAAAGCCGCGGGUUAAUACCCUGCGGCGCUGACGGUACCUGCAGAAUAAGCACCGGCUAACUACGUGCCAGCAGCCGCGGUAAUACGUAGGGUGCAAGCGUUAAUCGGAAUUACUGGGCGUAAAGCGUGCGCAGGCGGUUCGGCAAGAAGGAUGUGAAAUCCCGGGGCUUAACCUCGGAACUGCAUUCUUAACUGCAGGGCUAGAGUAUGUCAGAGGGGGGUAGAAUUCCGCGUGUAGCAGUGAAAUGCGUAGAGAUGCGGAGGAAUACCGAUGGCGAAGGCAGCCCCCUGGGAUAAUACUGACGCUCAUGCACGAAAGCGUGGGGAGCAAAC